UACGAAGGGGCUAGCGUUGCUCGGAAUUACUGGGCGUAAAGCGCACGUAGGCGGCUUCUUAAGUCGGUGGUGAAAUCCUGGAGCUCAACUCCAGAACUGCCUUCGAUACUGAGAAGCUCGAGUCCGGAGAGGUGAGUGGAACUGCGAGUGUAGAGGUGAAAUUCGUAGAUAUUCGGAAGAACACCAGUGGCGAAGGCGGACUUACUGGACACAUAUUGACGCUGAGGUGCGAAAAGCGUGGGGAG
This 245-nucleotide ribosomal RNA is filed under the name uncultured bacterium. RNAcentral's name for it is "partial 16S ribosomal RNA". It matches the Rfam family "Bacterial small subunit ribosomal RNA", at positions 524 to 768 of the family's 1533-position model. The record is from RNAcentral.